RNAcentral lists this unclassified non-coding RNA (18 nucleotides) under Chlamydomonas reinhardtii. Its description in RNAcentral is "small RNA Cre_0458". The record is from RNAcentral. Lineage: Eukaryota; Viridiplantae; Chlorophyta; Chlorophyceae; Chlamydomonadales; Chlamydomonadaceae.
AGCAGGCCCUCCUGCUCC